GAUGAACGCUGGCGGCGUGCUUAACACAUGCAAGUCGAACGGAGUGCCUUUGAAAGAGGAUUCGUCCAAUUGAUAAGGUUACUUAGUGGCGGACGGGUGAGUAACGCGUGAGGAACCUGCCUUGGAGCGGGGAAUAACACAGUGAAAAUUGUGCUAAUACCGCAUAAGCGCACAGUGCCGCAUGGCGCUGUGUGAAAAACUCCGGUGGUAUGAGAUGGACCCGCGUCUGAUUAGCUGGUUGGUGAGGUAACGGCCCACCAAGGCGACGAUCAGUAGCCGACCUGAGAGGGUGAUCGGCCACAUUGGGACUGAGACACGGCCCAA
RNAcentral lists this ribosomal RNA (324 nucleotides) under uncultured bacterium. Its description in RNAcentral is "bacterial SSU rRNA". It matches the Rfam family "Bacterial small subunit ribosomal RNA", at positions 28 to 334 of the family's 1533-position model. The record is from RNAcentral.